RNAcentral lists this long non-coding RNA (1029 nucleotides) under Homo sapiens (human). RNAcentral's name for it is "non-protein coding lnc-PDGFA-13:3". Lineage: Eukaryota; Metazoa; Chordata; Mammalia; Primates; Hominidae. The record is from RNAcentral.
GAGGCUCAGAUCUGGGUUGCUGAUAAACUAGGCAUCUAGUCCAGGGGCUGCUGGAGGCAGGAGGAGCCAAGACCUUCUCCUUGAGCUAAGAUGAACUUAGGAGGCCAGGAACAAGGUCAGGAGGGCAGGGAGGAGCUCAGAAGGCCGAGGACAGGCUUGGGAGGCUGAGGACUCGCUCAGCCAGUGCGUGUGGUGGAAGAGACGCACAGCGCAGCCCCUCGUCUGGUUCUCGGAGAGCUGGAUGGGGCUUUCGCUCAGCAGCACGGGCACAGCUCCACUUCCAAAAUGUGAGGGGCAGGGGCCCAGGUGUUGGAUGCCUUCAGAGCCCUGGAGCCCCGGGAGGGGCUCUCAAGCCCACCUGCCUGAGUCGGGCAUCAGGCAGGGAGAGUGCUGGGGCCUCCGCCCCUGCUGGCCCAGUGAUGAAAACCAAGCAUGAAGGGUGGGUGUUCAUUGGUUACUUGCUGUGUGUGGCCUCUAAACAUGCACCAUUCCCUUUAAUUUUCACAGGCUUCAUGGGAUGGUAUUAGUGUUGCCACCGGACAGGCUGGCCCUGUGGAAGGAACAUGGGCGUGGGCAGUUCCUGGCCUCUGGUCUUGACUCCUGACUCGGUUCCACCCCCUUGGGAUGCUUGGCCCAAUUCGUGGCUCAGAGCCCGGCUCUAUCUAUUUAAUGGGAGCUGCACUUGAGGAGGGCCAGGGAAUCAUCUGGGCCAGCAGAGGCAGAGGCCCCCGCACGCUCCCUGCCCGAUGCCCGACUCAGGCAGGUGGUGAAGGCAUCCGAGACCUGAGCCCCUGCCCCUCACACUUUGAAAGUGGAGCUGCGCCCCUGUUGCUGAGCAGAAGCCCCACGCAUGCAGGGGUGGGUUGGGAGGGGCCCCUGCCAGAGCCUCUCUCUACGCCGGCCUGGCUGUGGCAUGUUCUCUCCAGAUUUCCUCCAGGAGACGGCCCUGGUCCCUUGCCACAAUAGAAAUUAUGCCCCAUAAUUUUCUGUUGUAAAACUUGAUCUUUUUCUGCAAGCAAGUCAUUAAAA